UGCGGUCGACUCUGAGGAUCCCCUGGUGUUGCAUGGCCGUCGUCAAUUUGUGUAUAAAACGUAAAACCGGUUUAACCCAGUGGGUUCGUUUAUUGGAUGAAGUCAGGUCUUAUUGUCCUAAUGUUUGGGGAUUAGAUGCGCUACAUUUUUUUAUACAAUGGGAGACUUUGAAAGUGAAACCCUAAAGUAAGAGUUCGGAAGGUGCCUGGAAGAUAACUGAAAGUGGUAUUUAAUAGUAAUCGGAAAGUAGAGCGUUCUGGUGAAACUGGCCCAGUGUUAGUACAAAUUGCCCGUCGCCUUUGCUUAGAGUGGUGGGUUGGACGCCCCUUAUUGUAGGGGUUACGAGCACC
RNAcentral lists this ribosomal RNA (350 nucleotides) under Corynactis californica. Its description in RNAcentral is "small subunit ribosomal RNA". It matches the Rfam family "Bacterial small subunit ribosomal RNA", at positions 1013 to 1467 of the family's 1533-position model. Lineage: Eukaryota; Metazoa; Cnidaria; Anthozoa; Corallimorpharia; Corallimorphidae. The record is from RNAcentral.